AACGAACGCUGGCGGCAUGCCUAACACAUGCAAGUCGAACGAGACCUUCGGGUCUAGUGGCGCACGGGUGCGUAACGCGUGGGAACCUGCCCUUAGGUUCGGAAUAACUCCCCGAAAGGUGUGCUAAUACCGGUUAAUGUCUUCGGACCAAAGAUUUAUCGCCUUUGGAUGGGCGCGCGUUGGAUUAGCUAGUUGGUAGGGUAAAAGCCUACCAAGGCGACGAUCCAUAGCUGGUCUGAGAGGAUGAUCCACCACACUGGGACUGCGACACGGCCCAGACUGCGACGGGAGGGAGCAGUGGGGAAUAUUGGACGAGGGGCGAAAGUCUGGUACAGCCAUGCGGGGGGAGUGAUGAAGGGCUUAGGGUUGUAAAGCUCUUUUAGCCGGGAUGAUAAUGACGGUACCGGGAGAAUAAGCUCCGGCUAACUACGUG
RNAcentral lists this ribosomal RNA (433 nucleotides) under uncultured bacterium. RNAcentral's name for it is "partial 16S ribosomal RNA". It matches the Rfam family "Bacterial small subunit ribosomal RNA", at positions 29 to 507 of the family's 1533-position model. The record is from RNAcentral.